Molecule: ribosomal RNA, 550 nt
Filed under: Fusarium subglutinans
Lineage: Eukaryota; Fungi; Ascomycota; Sordariomycetes; Hypocreales; Nectriaceae
Description: eukaryotic LSU rRNA
Rfam family: 5.8S ribosomal RNA (bases 179-332)
Source: RNAcentral
UCGUAGGUGAACCUGCGGAGGGAUCAUUACCGAGUUUACAACUCCCAAACCCCUGUGGAACAUACCAAUUGUUGCCUCGGCGGAUCAGCCCGCUCCCGGUAAAACGGGACGGCCCGCCAGAGGACCCCUAAACUCUGUUUCUAUAUGUAACUUCUGAGUAAAACCAUAAAUAAAUCAAAACUUUCAACAACGGAUCUCUUGGUUCUGGCAUCGAUGAAGAACGCAGCAAAAUGCGAUAAGUAAUGUGAAUUGCAGAAUUCAGUGAAUCAUCGAAUCUUUGAACGCACAUUGCGCCCGCCAGUAUUCUGGCGGGCAUGCCUGUUCGAGCGUCAUUUCAACCCUCAAGCCCCCGGGUUUGGUGUUGGGGAUCGGCGAGCCCUUGCGGCAAGCCGGCCCCGAAAUCUAGUGGCGGUCUCGCUGCAGCUUCCAUUGCGUAGUAGUAAAACCCUCGCAACUGGUACGCGGCGCGGCCAAGCCGUUAAACCCCCAACUUCUGAAUGUUGACCUCGGAUCAGGUAGGAAUACCCGCUGAACUUAAGCAUAUCAAUAA